GACGAACGCUGGCGGCGUGCUUAACACAUGCAAGUCGAACGGAAAGGCCCUGCUUUUGUGGGGUGCUCGAGUGGCGAACGGGUGAGUAACACGUGAGUAACCUGCCCUUGACUUUGGGAUAACUUCAGGAAACUGGGGCUAAUACCGGAUAGGAGCUCCUGCUGCAUGGUGGGGGUUGGAAAGUUUCGGCGGUUGGGGAUGGACUCGCGGCUUAUCAGCUUGUUGGUGGGGUAGUGGCUUACCAAGGCUUUGACGGGUAGCCGGCCUGCGAGGGUGACCGGCCACAUUGGGACUGAGAUACGGCCCAGACUCCUACGGGAGGCAGCAGUGGGGAAUAUUACACAAUAGGCGGGAGCCUGAUGCAGCAACGCCGCGUGCGGGAUGACGGGCUUCGGGUUGUAAACCGCUUUCGCCUGUGACGAAGCGUGAGUGACGGUAAUGGGUAAAGAAGCACCGGCUAACUACGUG
This 468-nucleotide ribosomal RNA is filed under the name uncultured bacterium. RNAcentral's name for it is "partial 16S ribosomal RNA". It matches the Rfam family "Bacterial small subunit ribosomal RNA", at positions 28 to 507 of the family's 1533-position model. The record is from RNAcentral.